Molecule: ribosomal RNA, 384 nt
Filed under: uncultured bacterium
Lineage: Bacteria
Description: bacterial SSU rRNA
Rfam family: Bacterial small subunit ribosomal RNA
Source: RNAcentral
AUUGAACGCUGGCGGAAUACUUUACACAUGCAAGUCGAACGGCAGCACGGGGCAACCUGGUGGCGAGUGGCGAACGGGUGAGUAAUACAUCGGAACGUGCCCAAUCGUGGGGGAUAACGUAGCGAAAGUUACGCUAAUACCGCAUACGAUCUACGGAUGAAAGCGGGGGAUCGCAAGACCUCGCGCGAAUGGAGCGGCCGAUGUCAGAUUAGGUAGUUGGUGGGGUAAAGGCUCACCAAGCCAACGAUCUGUAGCUGGUCUGAGAGGACGACCAGCCACACUGGAACUGAGACACGGUCCAGACUCCUACGGGAGGCAGCAGUGGGGAAUUUUGGACAAUGGGCGCAAGCCUGAUCCAGCCAUUCCGCGUGCAGGAUGAAGGCC